GAAAUAGGAACAGAAAAAAGAAACAAAAAAAAGUUGUUUCUUUUGAAAAGAAACACUUCUUCGACGGAACAAAAGAACAAAAACCAAAGAAACAAAAGAACAAAAUCGGAACAAAGGCGACGAACUCUUCUCCUUCGUGCGUGCUCGUCGCUCCUCUCGUCGGCUGAAGCUUCGUUCUUCCUUUUCCGGCGUCUCUCCCAUCUCUCCGGCGGCUCCCACUCGGCUGACUCUCCGGCGACUCCUCACUCCGGCGACUCCAGGUACGUUUCCGGUGCUCCUCCUUCUCCGGUAAGCGUUGCUCCCCCUUCGGCGCUCCUCCUCCGGUCAGCGUUGCUCCCCCUUCGGCGCUCCUUCUCCGGUCAGCGUUGCUCCCCCUUCGCUCGAGCAGCAGCUCCAGUGAUGCGGCGGUGCAGCUCGGAGACGGACCGAGGCGGCGGCGCGGGAUCGAGGGAGGGAAGUGGGAGCGGCGGGAGUGAUGCGGCGGAAGGCGGAAACUUGGGCGCCGAAAAGCCGGCGCGGUCCGGUGUGGAAGAGGAGGAGGUGCUCCUAAGCGGCGACGGCGGUGAUGCCGGCGUCGCGUUGAGGAGCGAAGAGGAAUCGGAGAGUAAAUUGAGGGCGAGGGGUGGGCGACAGGUGAUGAGGCGAUCGAGCAUGGUGGCGAAGCAAGUGAUCAGCAUCGAAUCUGCUCUUGGCUUGGGGUUCGUCUCUCAGCUCUGGGUGGAUACCCUCUCGGUAAGUGAUGGAAUUCUUCAUCUUGGUUCGUGUAGCAAAACCUCGCGUGCCUGCAGAAGAUUGUCCAUUGAAAAAUUUAGGUGGGUUGUGCUGUAACAGGUGACUUUGAACAGUAACGAAGGCUUAAAAGUGUUGUCCUUAUAACAACUCCUGGAGUUUACUAGUAUUCGUCUUGGUUCUUGUAGUUUUCUGUUGUCUGUUGUGGGAAGCAAAAGUCGAAGUUAUCUCUAGAAGUGUCGACGCUUUCUGGGUAAGGUUCCGUCCGACCACCCCAUCUGUCUCGAUCGCGCUCGACACUUGGCCGUCCUUCUUCGUUUGGUUCUCUCGUCGUUGCUGCGUGCUGUUUCCGUUUUAGUUUGAUUCCCUGGUCAAUUUGGUCGCCGCGCUGCGGGCUCUUGUUGUGAACUUGAUCGUGCUUGCGCGCGUUGACUUCAGCGGGUCUUGAGUUGGGGUUGGAGUGUUGGAGUGGGGGGCGUGGCGGUUCUGGUUCUGCAUGUCAUCCGGUCAGUCGAACCUCUUUCGGCCGUGUUGAAAAAAUUUGAUACAAAACAUUUUCUACGAAAUAUGCUAUAUGAUCAUGCUAAAAAUGUUUGUCUUCACUAACCAUGAACAAAAUAAAAUUAAUGAGCAUUUCAUAAGAAUUAGAAUUCAAUAUCAAUUUUAAACUUUAUUAAAAAAAAAUUAAAAAUUAAAAAUUAAAAAUAAAACAGAAAUUUUUUUGUCGUUUACCAAACGUGUUUCUGUUCUUUUUCUAUUCUAGGAACAGAAAUUGACUGCAGUUACCAAACAUGUUUCUGUUCUUUUUUUAUUCCAAGAACAGUUUUUUUUUACACUUAC
This 1569-nucleotide long non-coding RNA is filed under the name Eucalyptus grandis. RNAcentral describes it as "long non-coding RNA (EGRA_LNC003141)". The record is from RNAcentral. Lineage: Eukaryota; Viridiplantae; Streptophyta; Magnoliopsida; Myrtales; Myrtaceae.